Molecule: ribosomal RNA, 796 nt
Filed under: uncultured Sulfitobacter sp.
Lineage: Bacteria; Pseudomonadati; Pseudomonadota; Alphaproteobacteria; Rhodobacterales; Roseobacteraceae
Description: bacterial SSU rRNA
Rfam family: Bacterial small subunit ribosomal RNA
Source: RNAcentral
CGAACGCUGGCGGCAGGCCUAACACAUGCAAGUCGAGCGCAGUCCUUCGGGACCGAGCGGCGGACGGGUUAGUAACGCGUGGGAACAUACCCUUUUCUACGGAAUAGCCUCGGGAAACUGAGAGUAAUACCGUAUAAGCCCUUCGGGGGAAAGAUUUAUCGGGAAAGGAUUGGCCCGCGUUAGAUUAGAUAGUUGGUGGGGUAAUGGCCUACCAAGUCUACGAUCUAUAGCUGGUUUUAGAGGAUGAUCAGCAACACUGGGACUGAGACACGGCCCAGACUCCUACGGGAGGCAGCAGUGGGGAAUCUUAGACAAUGGGCGCAAGCCUGAUCUAGCCAUGCCGCGUGUGUGAUGAAGGUCUUAGGAUCGUAAAGCACUUUCGCCAGGGAUGAUAAUGACAGUACCUGGUAAAGAAACCCCGGCUAACUCCGUGCCAGCAGCCGCGGUAAUACGGAGGGGGUUAGCGUUGUUCGGAAUUACUGGGCGUAAAGCGUACGUAGGCGGAUCAGAAAGUAGGGGGUGAAAUCCCAGGGCUCAACCCUGGAACUGCCUCCUAAACUCCUGGUCUUGAGUUCGAGAGAGGUGAGUGGAAUUCCAAGUGUAGAGGUGAAAUUCGUAGAUAUUUGGAGGAACACCAGUGGCGAAGGCGGCUCACUGGCUCGAUACUGACGCUGAGGUACGAAAGUGUGGGGAGCAAACAGGAUUAGAUACCCUGGUAGUCCACACCGUAAACGAUGAAUGCCAGUCGUCGGGCAGUAUACUGUUCGGUGACACACCUAACGGAUUAAGCAUCCGC